This 76-nucleotide transfer RNA is filed under the name Actinomycetes bacterium. RNAcentral describes it as "Actinobacteria bacterium tRNA-Ala". It matches the Rfam family "tRNA". Rfam says of the family: Transfer RNA (tRNA) molecules are approximately 80 nucleotides in length. Their secondary structure includes four short double-helical elements and three loops (D, anti-codon, and T loops). Lineage: Bacteria; Bacillati; Actinomycetota; Actinomycetes. The record is from RNAcentral.
GGGGCCAUAGCUCAGUUGGGAGAGCGCUGCGAUGGCAUCGCAGAGGUCGCCGGUUCGAGCCCGGCUGGCUCCACCU